GAUGAACGCUGGCGGCGUGCCUAAUACAUGCAAGUCGAGCGAACGGACGAGAAGCUUGCUUCUCUGAUGUUAGCGGCGGACGGGUGAGUAACACGUGGAUAACCUACCUAUAAGACUGGGAUAACUUCGGGAAACCGGAGCUAAUACCGGAUAAUAUUUUGAACCGCAUGGUUCAAAAGUGAAAGACGGUCUUGCUGUCACUUAUAGAUGGAUCCGCGCUGCAUUAGCUAGUUGGUAAGGUAACGGCUUACCAAGGCAACGAUGCAUAGCCGACCUGAGAGGGUGAUCGGCCACACUGGAACUGAGACACGGUCCAGACUCCUACGGGAGGCAGCAGUAGGGAAUCUUCCGCAAUGGGCGAAAGCCUGACGGAGCAACGCCGCGUGAGUGAUGAAGGUCUUCGGAUCGUAAAACUCUGUUAUUAGGGAAGAACAUAUGUGUAAGUAACUGUGCACAUCUUGACGGUACCUAAUCAGAAAGCCACGGCUAACUACGUGCCAGCAGCCGCGGUAAUACGUAGGUGGCAAGCGUUAUCCGGAAUUAUUGGGCGUAAAGCGCGCGUAGGCGGUUUUUUAAGUCUGAUGUGAAAGCCCACGGCUCAACCGUGGAGGGUCAUUGGAAACUGGAAAACUUGAGUGCAGAAGAGGAAAGUGGAAUUCCAUGUGUAGCGGUGAAAUGCGCAGAGAUAUGGAGGAACACCAGUGGCGAAGGCGACUUUCUGGUCUGUAACUGACGCUGAUGUGCGAAAGCGUGGGGAUCAAACAGGAUUAGAUACCCUGGUAGUCCACGCCGUAAAGAUGAGUGCUAAGUGUUAGGGGGUUUCCGCCCCUUAGUGCUGCAGCUAACGCAUUAAGCACUCCGCCUGGGGAGUACGACCGCAAGGUUGAAACUCAAAGGAAUUGACGGGGACCCGCACAAGCGGUGGAGCAUGUGGUUUAAUUCGAAGCAACGCGAAGAACCUUACCAAAUCUUGACAUCCUUUGACAACUCUAGAGAUAGAGCCUUCCCCUUCGGGGGGGCAAAGUGACAGGUGGUGCAUGGUUGUCGUCAGCUCGUGUCGUGAGAUGUUGGGUUAAGUCCCGCAACGAGCGCAACCCUUAAGCUUAGUUGCCAUCAUUAAGUUGGGCACUCUAAGUUGACUGCCGGUGACAAACCGGAGGAAGGUGGGGAUGACGUCAAAUCAUCAUGCCCCUUAUGAUUUGGGCUACACACGUGCUACAAUGGACAAUACAAAGGGCAGCGAAACCGCGAGGUCAAGCAAAUCCCAUAAAGUUGUUCUCAGUUCGGAUUGUAGUCUGCAACUCGACUACAUGAAGCUGGAAUCGCUAGUAAUCGUAGAUCAGCAUGCUACGGUGAAUACGUUCCCGGGUCU
This 1372-nucleotide ribosomal RNA is filed under the name uncultured bacterium. RNAcentral's name for it is "bacterial SSU rRNA". It matches the Rfam family "Bacterial small subunit ribosomal RNA", at positions 28 to 1381 of the family's 1533-position model. The record is from RNAcentral.